UACGGGAGGCAGCAGUGGGGAAUAUUGCACAAUGGGCGAAAGCCUGAUGCAGCUAUGCCGCGUGUAUGAAGAAGGCCUUAGGGUUGUAAAGUACUUUCAUCGGGGAGGAAAAAACAAAACUAAUAAUUUUAUUUCUUGACGUUACCCGAAAAAGAAGCACCGGCUAACUCCGUGCCAGCAGCCGCGGUAAUACGGAGGGUGCUAGCGUUAAUCAGAAUUACUGGGCGUAAAGAGCACGUAGGUGGUUUUUUUAAGUCAGAUGUGAAAUCCCUGGGCUUAACCUGGAACUGCAUUUUGAAACUGAAAUACUAGAGUAUCGUAGAGGGAGGUAGAAUUCUAGGUGUAGCGGUGAAAUGCGUAGAUAUCUGGAGGAAUACCUGUGGCGAAAGCGGCCUCCGUAAACGAUACUGACACUGAGGUGCGAAAGCUGGGGAGCAAACAGGGAUUUAGGAUA
RNAcentral lists this ribosomal RNA (454 nucleotides) under uncultured bacterium. RNAcentral describes it as "bacterial SSU rRNA". It matches the Rfam family "Bacterial small subunit ribosomal RNA", at positions 340 to 784 of the family's 1533-position model. The record is from RNAcentral.